ACAGGGCCGACGCGGGUCAAAGUGUUGUAUCUGUUGUUAUCAGUUUAAUAUCUGAUACGGCUCGCAUUUAGAGUUUGGACCCAAGAUAUGAAACUUAUUUUUACAAGUUGGCGGAGUGGUUGAAGCCUGCUUCACCUCCGCCGCGGGUCGGCCCGUUAUUGCACUGUCUUCGGGAAUUUUGGCCUACGGACA
Molecule: small nuclear RNA, 192 nt
Organism: Dermacentor silvarum
Lineage: Eukaryota; Metazoa; Arthropoda; Arachnida; Ixodida; Ixodidae
Product: U2 spliceosomal RNA
Exons: 1
Source: RefSeq, a predicted model, not a curated record